AGAGUUUGAUCCUGGCUCAGAACGAACGCUGGCGGCGGGCCUAACACAUGCAAGUCGCACGAGAAAGCCCCUGCUUGCAGGGGCGAGUAAAGUGGCGCACGGGUGAGUAACGCGUGGUUAAUCUACCCUUGGGUUUGGGAUAACGUUCCGAAAGGGGCGCUAAUACCGGAUAAGACCACGGUGUCCACGGGCACUGGGGUAAAAGUGGGCCUCUACAUGUAAGCUCAUGCCUGAGGAUGAGACCGCGUCCCAUUAGCUUGUUGGUGAGGUAAUGGCUCACCAAGGCCGCGAUGGGUAGCUGAUCUGAGAGGACGAUCAGCCACACUGGGACUGGAACACGGCCCAGACUCCUACGGGAGGCAGCAGUGAGGAAUCUUGCGCAAUGGGGGAAACCCUGACGCAGCCACGCCGCGUGGGUGAAGAAGGCCUUCGGGUUGUAAAGCCCUGUCAGGUGGGAAGAACCGCAGUCUGGCCAAUACCUGGACUGCUUGACGGUACCACCAAAGGAAGCACCGGCUAACUCCGUGCCAGCAGCCGCGGUAAUACGGAGGGUGCAAGCGUUGUUCGGAAUUACUGGGCGUAAAGCGCGUGUAGGCGGACUGGUAAGCCUGGCGUGAAAGGCCACAGCUCAACUGUGGAAUUGCGUUGGGAACUGCUGGGCUUGAGUUAUGGAGAGGGAGCUAGAAUUCCUGGUGUAGGGGUGAAAUCCGUAGAUAUCAGGAAGAAUACCGAUGGCGAAGGCAAGCUCCUGCCGAUGACUGACGCUGAGGUGCGAAAGUGUGGGGAUCAAACAGGAUAGAUACCCUGUAGUCCACACUGUAACGAUGUGCACUAGUGCUGGGGCGGUAGCUUCAGUGCGGAGCGACGUGUAGUGCACCCGCUGGGGAGUACGACCGCAGUAACUCAAUGAAUUGACCGGGUCGCCAACGGUGGAACACAUGGUGUGAUAAUAUCUCUCGGAAC
RNAcentral lists this ribosomal RNA (963 nucleotides) under uncultured bacterium. Its description in RNAcentral is "bacterial SSU rRNA". It matches the Rfam family "Bacterial small subunit ribosomal RNA", at positions 8 to 969 of the family's 1533-position model. The record is from RNAcentral.